GUGAACGCUGGCGGUAGGCCUAACACAUGCAAGUCGAACGGCAGCACAGUAAGAGCUUGCUCUUACGGGUGGCGAGUGGCGGACGGGUGAGGAAUACAUCGGAAUCUACUUUUUCGUGGGGGAUAACGUAGGGAAACUUACGCUAAUACCGCAUACGACCUACGGGUGAAAGCAGGGGAUCUUCGGACCUUGCGCGAUUGAAUGAGCCGAUGUCGGAUUAGCUAGUUGGCGGGGUAAAGGCCCACCAAGGCGACGAUCCGUAGCUGGUCUGAGAGGAUGAUCAGCCACACUGGAACUGAGACACGGUCCAGACUCCUACGGGAGGCAGCAGUGGGGAAUAUUGGACAAUGGGCGCAAGCCUGAUCCAGCCAUACCGCGUGGGUGAAGAAGGCCUUCGGGUUGUAAAGCCCUUUUGUUGGGAAAGAAAAGUAGCAGGUUAAUACCCCGCUGUUCUGACGGUACCCAAAGAAUAAGCACCGGCUAACUUCGUG
RNAcentral lists this ribosomal RNA (491 nucleotides) under uncultured bacterium. Its description in RNAcentral is "partial 16S ribosomal RNA". It matches the Rfam family "Bacterial small subunit ribosomal RNA", at positions 29 to 507 of the family's 1533-position model. The record is from RNAcentral.